CAGCAGCCGCGGUAAUUCGUAGGGUGCUAGAGUUGUCCGGAUUUACUGGGUGUAAAGGGUGCUCAGGUGGGUUUGUAAGUCAGAGGUGAAAUCCCAAAGCUUAACUUUGGAGCUGCCUUUGAUACUGCAAGUCUAGAGUUUGAGAGAGGGCAAUGGAAUAUCUGGUGUAGCAGUGAAAUGCGUAGAUAUCAGAUAGAACACCAAUGGCGAAGGCAGUUGCCUGGCUCAUAACUGACGCUAAAGCACGAAAGUGUGGGGAGCAAACAGGAUUAGAUACCCUGGUAGUCCACACCCUAAACGAUGAAUACUAGAUGUUGGUCCUUUUUAGGAUCAGUAUCCAAGCUAACGCAUUAAGUAUUCCACCUGGGAAGUACAAUCGCAAGGUUGAAACUUAAAGGAAUUGACGG
RNAcentral lists this ribosomal RNA (407 nucleotides) under uncultured bacterium. RNAcentral describes it as "bacterial SSU rRNA". It matches the Rfam family "Bacterial small subunit ribosomal RNA", at positions 509 to 916 of the family's 1533-position model. The record is from RNAcentral.